GACCUUCCCUGCGCGCGUCCUGUGCUUGUUAUUCAACAGGACCACACGGGUAUGAUUUCCCCUGUCGUGCACCGGAGAUUUCCAGGUGACUUGCGCUGGGACUCGCCGCCGGUGGGGGGCAGCCCCUCACCUGAAUGUCGCCCUGAGCCCUGCCCCGGGCCGGCUUCCUCGCCCAGGCCGCCUCUGGUCUCCGCGCAGUUACGAGGGCGGAGAGCCGAGAAAGACAUCACGGAAUUACGAAUACAAAAGGAGGCGGGAAAGUGAACAUGCAUUUAGAAAGGAGGAAUACGAUAAACGUCACUGAAUCCAGGAAAAUAUAAUACGAGAAUGGAUAAUUCAGCAUCAUCACUGAGCCGUAUUUAUGUGCUUGUGCGGUUACCACAAUGUGUGAUAAAAAUACUGUUGCUGUGCAACACGAGGAGCUUACUAAUGAAGACCUGAAGGAAUUGGAGGCCCAGAGAAAGGAUAAAUAUAGACAAGAGGAAGAAGAAGUAACUGAAGAACAAAAGAGAUUCACGAUGCAGGAAAUAGCAAGGGGAUUUUCUUUAUUUGAGGAGGCACCGUUAGUUUUUGAGGCACAGGACCUGAACGUAGAACAGUACACGAAGGUUGUAGCAGCCGUUCAGAAUGUAAUCCAGUGCUACCGUGUCAUCUAUGACGAGAAAAAAGAGCUACUACCCAGACGUCACUGGAUCAUUUUUUCAAGAGGGUAGAUAGAAUUGAAUCCAGCAAGGAACCAGACGUGUGCUAUCAAGGUCAGGUGUGAGUGAUAUUGCAGCUUGCUCUCCGUCUCCUAUUGCUGAUGACCCUUCAGCUCUACCAUCUCCCACCUCCUCUCCCUCCUCCAGUCAGUAACUCUUCUUGCCUGUUCACUCGAUGCCAGCCCCUGGAUGC
Balaenoptera ricei (Rice's whale) is the source of this 894-nucleotide long non-coding RNA. RefSeq lists it as uncharacterized. The record is from RefSeq and is a predicted model, not a curated record. The transcript has 3 exons. NCBI's taxonomy places the organism in Eukaryota, Metazoa, Chordata, Mammalia, Artiodactyla, Balaenopteridae.